GGGCUUGUACUGGUUUCGACGGGGACCAUGCAGCUGGUGAAGCUAUCCCCAUGCGAUGGGUUAAAUGGCAAACCUAAAUAUAAACGCUGAAGAUAAUUUAGCAAUCGCUGCCUAAUGGCAGCUGUCAGGCUUAGCGCACCUGCACGCUGAGAUUCUGGCAUCGACUAUGCAGGAAACGACGGGCAGUAAGCUUUGCCUGCCUGGGCGUAUAAUGAAGCUACUGAAACCGUAAGGAUGUUUGUUUCCGUGCGGCGGAGGGAAUGAAAAAGAACAAACUAUGAUAGUAGAAGAACAGGGAAUUGGUUUUCGGACAGGGGUUCGACUCCCCUCAGGUCCAUCG
Molecule: transfer-messenger RNA, 340 nt
Filed under: Lachnospiraceae
Lineage: Bacteria; Bacillati; Bacillota; Clostridia; Lachnospirales
Also listed under: 1 other name
Description: Caccovicinus merdipullorum Standard tmRNA
Rfam family: transfer-messenger RNA
About the family: Bacterial tmRNA, also known as 10Sa RNA or SsrA, is named for its dual tRNA and mRNA-like properties. Its role is to liberate the mRNA from a stalled ribosome. To accomplish this part of the tmRNA is used as a reading frame that ends in a translation stop signal.
Source: RNAcentral